GAUGAACGCUGGCGGCGUGCCUAACACAUGCAAGUCGAACGGAGUCGUUUUGGAAAUCUCUUCGGAGAUGGAAUUCUCGACUUAGUGGCGGACGGGUGAGUAACGCGUGAGCAAUCUGCCUUUAAGAGGGGGAUAACAGUCGGAAACGGCUGCUAAUACCGCAUAAAGCAUUAAAUUCGCAUGUUUUUGAUGCCAAAGGAGCAAUCCGCUUUUAGAUGAGCUCGCGUCUGAUUAGCUAGUUGGCGGGGUAACGGCCCACCAAGGCGACGAUCAGUAGCCGGACUGGGAGGUUGAACGGCCACAUUGGGACUGAGACACGGCCCAGACUCCUACGGGAGGCAGCAGUGGGGAAUAUUGCGCAAUGGUGGAAACCCUGACGCAGCAACGCCGCGUGAUGGAAGAAGGCCUUCGGGUUGUAAAGAUCUUUAAUCAGGGACGAAACAAAUGACGGUACCUGAAGAAUAAGCUCCGGCUAACUACGUG
Molecule: ribosomal RNA, 483 nt
Filed under: uncultured bacterium
Lineage: Bacteria
Description: partial 16S ribosomal RNA
Rfam family: Bacterial small subunit ribosomal RNA
Source: RNAcentral